Molecule: long non-coding RNA, 293 nt
Organism: Homo sapiens (human)
Lineage: Eukaryota; Metazoa; Chordata; Mammalia; Primates; Hominidae
Product: long intergenic non-protein coding RNA 1193
Source: Ensembl
AGUAACACUCUGGGAGGGCUCAGGCCACAUCACGAAAUGUGACAGGAUAGCCUUGAACUCAUCAAUUGCUGGCAAGGUAAGCUGUCAUCAGUUGGAGGUAAGCAGAAGACAGUAGAGAGUACAGAGCCCUGGACUGUGACUCAGAGGAUGAGCACCAGAUCCAGUUUGCUGUGCCACAGUGGGUAGAAUAUUGCUCUUGAACCACUUUGGAAGGAAUUUUACCAGGGCCUGUGAUAUUUUGAAGCAGGAAGCUGACCUGAGACCUUCAGAAUAAACUGAUCACUGUGGAUAAU